Cuculus canorus (common cuckoo) is the source of this 265-nucleotide long non-coding RNA. RefSeq lists it as uncharacterized. The transcript has 3 exons. Lineage: Eukaryota; Metazoa; Chordata; Aves; Cuculiformes; Cuculidae. The record is from RefSeq and is a predicted model, not a curated record.
ACCGGAAAAGACUCGGGGAGUCACUUCCGGACUACAACUCCCAUGAGCUUUUGCGUCGAGCUCUCGGGGCCGCUGAUUGGUGGAGACGCGCGGCCGCUGGCCCCGCCCCUUCCGCCGGCCCGCCUCGCGCCCGUUGCCGUGGAGACGCCGGCCCCUGGGCCCCCCCCGCGCCCGUGGCCGCCACCAGCUUUGUGGGACCCGAACCCCGCGACCUCCUGCCUACUGUUCGCCCUGAGGACAGUGACAGCCUGGCCUGGGCCCAGGU